AGAGGAGAGUAAAACUCUUCUUUCCUACGUGCCAAACUGAUUUCAAGCCCCUGCUUUUGAUGCCCAAGUGUUGGGCAAUGGGAGGGCGUUUGACUCCCUCCAUGACUUCUAUUUGGGUCAUGUUUUGGGGCUGAAAUAAGUUGAUGAAACUGGGCUGGUGUGUUAUGUUUCUAUUGUCCAAAAGUUCGACAGCAAAAGGGCUCAUUUCAUGGCGCUAAUGUGUGCCUUUGGGUCCAAAGGUUGGACAGCAAGAGGGCCAUGAGACAAGGGAAUUUUGAUAUCCAAGAGAAGUAAGAAAGGAGAGAGAAAAUAUGAAGUGUUGAUGAUGCAAAAUAAGGAGUAGCUGUUGAUUUUCUUGAGAAAAAAUUUUAGCGAAUUCAGAUUAGGAAAAGUUCUAGACCGAGAUCCAUGUGGAUCAUCAUUGGAGGCCACGCGCUUGAGUACCUCAAGGAUACUGACUAUCGAGCUAUUCGGAUCUACAUGUUUGGGAGAAGCCCCUACCCAAAGCAAUGACCUGGGUGCAGCGCCACCUCCAAGCAAGCCCUUAAUCAUUGAGUCGGUCAUGUUUGCUCAAAAAGAAAUAACCCCAGCCAGCCUUUUGAGUUCUUCAUCCGCUACCAUAAAGAUUACUGCCUAGCCACUACUCAGGGUACCUCCGUUCCCCAACCAAGACAAAUGGAGAAAAUUCGAUCAAGGAUCCACGCAUCCAAGGAAAGGGGAGAGAAGAAAGGGGAAGAUUAUGUCGAGACUCAAAUCCCGUUCCCUGAACUUGAAGUGAGAGUCAAGGGGCUGUCCAAUGAUUUAAUAAAAUAUUAUUAUUGUUUGUAUAACUUUUUAAAGAAUAAUUAGAUUUGCAUUUUGAAUAUAUAUUAUAGAAGCAGUAUUGUGAACAAAUUGGAACGUCUCGGAAACUAUUAAAAUAGGCAUUGUCUAAA
This is a non-coding RNA of Elaeis guineensis (African oil palm), 935 nucleotides long. The record is from RefSeq and is a predicted model, not a curated record. NCBI's taxonomy places the organism in Eukaryota, Viridiplantae, Streptophyta, Magnoliopsida, Arecales, Arecaceae.